GCACAGGCUGGGAAGGUUAUACAAGCUGUAAGGACAAUAUGGAACAUUACAGGGAAAUAGAAGCACCGCACAGGCUGGGAAGGUUAUACAAGCUGUAAGGACAAUAUGGAACAUUACAGGGAAAUAGAAGCACCGCACAGGCUGGGAAGGUUAUACAAGCUGUAAGGACAAUAUGGAACAUUACAGGGAAAUAGAAGCACCGCACAGGCUGGGAAGGUUAUACAAGCUGUAAGGACAAUAUGGAACAUUACAGGGAAAUAGAAGCACUGCACAGGC
Molecule: long non-coding RNA, 276 nt
Organism: Dreissena polymorpha
Lineage: Eukaryota; Metazoa; Mollusca; Bivalvia; Myida; Dreissenidae
Exons: 4
Source: RefSeq, a predicted model, not a curated record